GGAACAAGCACCCCAGGAGGCAGGAGGGGUGGGGGGGAACUUCUUUGUCCCCCAGACACUCUCUGUUGUACUGUUCAGGCUUCCUAGACCCUGUGCGUAUGUCACUGCAGAAUUUAAAAUAAAACAAGAGCCUGGGCCCAGAGAGGAACUCAGUGGGUGACAGGAGCCCAGCCUGGGCCCUGCCGGUGGACUCACGGUGCCAUUUGUCCCUGGGAAGAGACCCUUUUGUGGCCACCCCCCCCAGCGCCUCUCUAGCCGCCUUCCCCCUCCUGGACACGUCCGAUCACCAGUGUCCCACCCCAGCCCCUGAAGCCCCCAGGUCUCUCCCAGGUCUCCAGCUGUGGAGCUGAGACCCAGGCCAGCCUGGGAGGCCCCGGGCGUGUCCCCAGGUCACCCCUGUGGGAAGGAUCCUCGGCCACUCCUAGUCUCCUUUCUGCCAGAGCCCAAGCUAAUGAGCUGUGCCCGGGUUGCCAUGCCAACCCCAAGGCCACCAGGGCGACGACGACGGGAGUGCUGGGCCUGUGUUCCUUGUCACCGUGGCAAGUGCCAGGUGCGGGCUCAAGCCCUGGCACUCACUGGCCGAACAGCCUCGACCACGUCGGUUUGAAAUCUGGAAGAUGAGUAUUUGGAGGGAGCCACUUGGCAGCCGGGACAGCUCUGGUUCCUGUAAUGGUUCUCGCGUUUCCUUCUGCGCUGACUGUGGGGCGGGCGAGGCCAGGGGAUGUCUGCAGCUACUUGCAUGAGGGUCCCCUCGCCAAUGACACCCCCCCCCUGCCCUGCAAACUGCCGUCCUCCACGCUGCAGCCCUGGGUCCCCCUACGUGUGCACACCCUCGGCUCCCUACACUGCAAAACCGAGCGUCUACGGCGACGGGGCAGAGUCCUGGCCCUGCGAUCCAGUGAAUCUGGGUUCAAAUCCUGGUUCUGCCAUUUUAUCCGCUCUGCGACCUCGAGCGACGUACUGCACCUCUCCCAGCCUCAGUUUCCCCGUCUUGAAAAUGUGGGCGCUGGUCCUAACACCCUGAGCGUACUGCGAGGAUUAAAAUAAAAGAUAUUUACCACAAUAAGAAGAUCUACCAUAAAAAGAAAUGACUCACUGAGUGGAUGUCACCUAUCAAAUGAAAAUAACAUAGAAGACGAAAAUGGAAUAAAAACAUUUUCGUAUCUACAUAUCGACCGGAGAAGGAGAGAUACUAACUUUAGACUUUAUUGUUCAACUGUGAAUACCAAAAAUUUAACUGUCCCAAGGGCCCAUACUGCGGUCUCUAAGGGCCA
Molecule: long non-coding RNA, 1274 nt
Organism: Lemur catta (Ring-tailed lemur)
Lineage: Eukaryota; Metazoa; Chordata; Mammalia; Primates; Lemuridae
Exons: 3
Source: RefSeq, a predicted model, not a curated record